Molecule: long non-coding RNA, 5644 nt
Organism: Passer domesticus (house sparrow)
Lineage: Eukaryota; Metazoa; Chordata; Aves; Passeriformes; Passeridae
Exons: 2
Source: RefSeq, a predicted model, not a curated record
GCGGGACAGCGGGACCGGCACGGCCGGGGACGGGGCUGGGGCGGCCAGGGAGCGACCCCCGGGACAGGGAUGGGCUGGGACGGGUGUCCCCUGUCACAGGGACACAGGUGUAUCUGAAUAAAGCUGGAGCAAGAAAAGGGAUAAAUUACAUCUAAUGAGCACAUUCCAUCUCUGGUUGCCCAAGCAGGAGAAGUGCAGAAGGUUAAAAUGAAUUUUCAACUUGAAUUAUUCAAGACAACGCUUCAUAGAAAUGCUUUGGAAAGGAUAAUUGCUGCUUUUAGAACUUUUUACAAAGCUAUCAUUUGGCACUGCUGAGAAGGGAUUGUCCUCUCUACACUGAGGGGAUGGGCAUGAACCUCAGAGAAGGUUAAGCCUACCUGAACAGCAAUUAGAGAGAUGAAACAGCCAAAAUCAGUUUUGUUAGAAAAGACCAGCACGUGCAUCGACAUUUUAUUAAUUAUUAAUUACUGGCCUUGUCAGCUCCUUCCUUCCUUUGGCCUUCCUAAUGAACCAUGGUGUUGGGAUGAGUAAAACCUUGGGUGAGGAUGGAGUGGGAUAGGAUGGAGUGGGAUAGGAUGGAGUGGGAUAACAUGUGAUCUCCAGUGUGCAUGCACAAGGUUACCCCUGCUCAUGAUGUUUAAAAGACCAGGUCCUUACUUUGCCAGCCUGAUUUCAAUGGAAAAGCAUCCUGGUCACUCUGUGAGUCACCAGGCAAUCCUGCUUCCCCCUCCACUUCCCCAAGACACUUCUUUCCAAUUUUUCCUUUUUCUUCUGCUGGUGAGUAGGAGGAUUUUCAUCCUUUUUUUUUUCCCCCACCCCCAGCCCUUCCAAAGCCAUUUCAGGAUGGUGUGUACACUGUGAACUCCUAAGGAGCCCCCCACAUUUUUGUUCUGGGGUGUGUGAGGCUGGAACAUAUGUCUGCACAGCUUGCUGCACCAUCCCACACAAGGAGCUCCGACGGAAAUGGACCUCCUGGGAUUCACUCAGGGAAACCUUCUGUCACUGCCAUUGGGGCCACAAGUGUCAUUUCUGUUUCCCCAGCAGGAGAAUGGGACAAAUUGUCACUGUGGGAAUGGCUUCAAAGUGAAAGAGCUGGUUUAGAGGGGAUAUUGGGAAGAAAUUCUUCCCUGUGGCGUGGGCAGGCCCUGGCACAGGGUGCCCGAGAAGCUGUGAGUGCCCCUGUGUGGGAAAUGAUUUGUAGGAAAUUCUCAAGCACAGAAGGCUCACACAGUGGGCAUAUCUUUGCAAACUUUAAGAUAAGACAUACUGACUUAAAAAUACCAUAGAAUAAGACAGACAUUGUUGAGAGAGAAAUAGAACUAGAAACAAGUUUCAAAGGAUGGCCUUGCAAAUAAGACUGGAUACUUUAAAGAAAUAGAACAAUGAAAGAUGAAUUGUAGUGGGACCCAAGGGGUAAUUUUAAAUUAUUGGCUUUAAGGCAUUUACAACAUAGUGUGGCUAAAGCUAAUAAGCCAAGAAAUGCUGAUAAUGUAUUGUAAUUAAGGAAUAGUUAACUUCUGAUUGUAAUAGUGUAAAGUAUACCAUCUGUAUUGUCUCACCCUUCACAUGAGACUGAAAAUAAAACAAAAGUUUUUUAAAUGCCUCUCAGUUACCCCAUCUCUAAGUCAUAAAAAAAAAAACUUAAUCCAACACCCCUGGAUCUCUGGCAGUGCCCAAGGCCACAUUGGACACUGGGGCUUGGAGCAGCCUGGCACAGUGGAAGGUGUCCCUGCCCAUGGUGGGGAGUUGGAACUGGAUGAUCUUUAAGGUCCCUUCCAGCCCAAGCCAUUCUGUGAUUCUGUGAUAGAAAAUGAACAGCAUUUAGACACCUUCAUCUGUAAAAUCACCAGGCCCUACAGUCCCAUGCUCUAUUUUGGCUCAUUUAGCUGAGUCAAAGAAAAUAUGAUCAGAUUGUGUGAGCACUAAAACAGCAGAGAAAAGCCACUUUCUGAUUAAAGCUGAUUUGAGGUUGGUGCUAGAAACAGAAAUAAGAUUCUUCAUUUCUUCAUGAAGAUGGGCUUGAAAGGAGGUUGGACCAUUACAAGGAUUUUGAGAAGUGGCUCCCUAUCAAAGAAAUAAAUGCUGUUUUCUCUCACGAAGCACAAGGGAAUUGAAGCUCCUAGAAAAGACAAAGGCAGGAGGAAAGCUGCCCAUGGGACUGAAUUAGCUGUCUCUAUCUUGCUGCCUACAGGAUGCUGCUCUGCAGUAGCAAAUCAGGCCAAAGAGAUGCUAAGCCAUAGCUUUUCCAACUCUGCCUCUGUUUUUUCCUCUCCUAUUCUCCAAAAUACCUGGUGCAAGGUGUUUCUCAUUCAAAACAGAUUUUAUUACUGUUAGCUGUAGAAGUCUAAGUGAGACACACAGGUCCCUCUCUGUCUCUAACGAGUUUUUUUUAAAUCUUAUCAUUAGUCUGUUGGUGUAGUCACAUUUUUCCUUAAUCAGAAGCUUGGAGGAAAAGCUCUGGAAAUAACAGGGCAGGGCCAUUUCCUCUCUGUGUCACCUUUGUAAACAUUGAGAUGCAUUUUCCCUCAUUGUUUCCCUCCUUAUUUUCACUCCAGAGGAGUCUGAAAGGCUGGACUGGACUUUCUGGUUCAGACUGCAAAAGCAGCUGAGCCCAGUCCCACCAGGUUGCUUCCCACUGGUCUGAGGAAUCCUUCUUUGUCUCUUUCCAAGGAAGUCAGGUAAUCUUUGCCUUGAUUUGAAGAUUUGUGAAAUUAUGCUACCAUGAAUCUAGGCCAGGAUUAAUUUUCAAAAAACCUUGUAGCACCAAUUUAACUCAUCUGAUUUUUUCUUUAAUUUCUUUUUUUUUUUCCUUUUUUUUUUUCCCUUGCUGAUUAUAAAGCCACAGCUCUUUGCAGAAUUGCUGUGGGCCCUUGAUGAGGAAAGCUUUGGACAUAAUCUUCUUCCAGACUUUCACACCCAGGAGGCCACAGGAUUAAACACUUUUUUUGGCACAAAUACCCUCACAGUUUUUUAUUUGGCCUGAAUAAAUCUGCACAACUGGAAUGCUGUUCUCCAGUCCUCUCCUGCCAGCACUCCUUGGAAACCACAUUCCAUGCUUCUCCUUUUCCAGGUGCAUUUCUCCUCUCCAACACUGAAACCAGUGAGUUGUAGCUGGAAAAAUGAAAAUGUCAUCAUUCAGGGCAGAUGAAGACAUUUGUCGUGGAGUUCAGGCAAGAAGAAGUAAGAAAGUUUAUCACACUGUGACAGAAGAUGCAGCUUUGGUGCUGUCAGAGGGAGUGUAAAUCUGAGAAGGAAAUUUUUUAAUGCAUCAGUUCCCCUGGCAACAUUUUCUUUAGCUUUAGAAAUGCUUUGUCUCUGAUUCAAACAGCUUUAAUUGCUCUGGUUAUCCUUCAGUUUAUUCUAAAGAACUUUUCAAUGCGUGAUAAUGUGCCAAGAGAAGGGAAACAUCAUUCUCUACACUCAUAAUCAUGAUUGCAUUUUUCAUUAUUGCUUAAGGGCAUGCUUUUUAGACUCUUCCUGAGGCUUACAUGGAAAACUAGAUUCUUCAAGGAGUUCAAACAAAGUGCAAAUCUAUCCAGAGCUCCUUUAAAACUGGUGCUCACCACCUCUCUCUAGCAAGCACAGUGAGUCCAGCUCUGGGCACAGAAGUCCAGAUGAACAAAUGGACAGCUUUGUUAGAGGAAUGCACACACAGACACUGAGUCCAGGGCUCCAAAUCCCACAGGACUUCCCAGGAAAUUUACCAUGAGACCAUGGAAUUAAACCCCUUUUCACACAGAAUCCCACAGAAUUGUUAGGAUUAGAAGGGACCUCUGAAGUUCAUCUUGUCCAACACCCCCAGGCCUUUCUUAUUUUCCUGAUGAUUUUGCAAGAGCUGCCAGUUAUGAGAAACGUUCAUACUCACACCUCUGAAAAUAGAAUAUUAAUGAAUGUUCCCCAAGUGCCCCACAGGCAUGAUCCAGAGUGGCACUGCCAUGAUGAGAGAGCAGAGUGUCACCUGCACACUAGGUGUGAUAUUGGGAGAGCUGUUUCAUUCUCAUGAAACACAUCCCUGUGACUGACAUCUUGCUGCUCCCUUUGGGCAUUCAGUAGAGAUCACCAAGUAGAAAUGGCAGGAGUUUUUUUGGAAAUCAAUGUUUCCUCUGCGCUGUUUGUGAUACCAGGCCUGUGACUGAAAGCUGCCCUUUUGCAGUAAGACACUGUAAGGCUCUGGAGAGAUGGUUUCAGAUACUCAAUUUCUCUUUGUGUGGUACAAUCACUGAUGUAUUUUGGCUUUCUCCUGUAAAGGAGCAGUGAAUUUUAUUUUGAUAUUCAGGCUGAGAGAGUUGGGGCUGUUCACACCAGAGAAAUCCCCAGGGAGAACUUACUGCAUUUUUCCAUUAUCUGAAGGGGCUACAAGAGAGCUGGAGAGGGAUUUUUUACAAGGCUUUGUACUGAUAGGACAAGGGGUAAUGGCUUUAAACUGAAGGAGGGUCAAUUUAAACUAGAUAUGAGAGAGAAUUUUUUUUUUACAAUGAGCAUGAGGAAAACCACAACAGGUUGUCCAGAGAGGUGGUGGAUUCCCAAUCCUUGGAAAACUUCAAGGCCAGGCUGGACAGAGCACUGACAGAGUUGAAAAUGUCACUGCCCACAGCAGAGGGGGUGGGACUGGAUGACCUUUAAAGGGUCCUUUCAAUCCAGCCACUCAGAUUUCAUGAUUCUGUAUGGGCAUUUCCUUUGAAACACUUGUAGACAAAAUGAGAUCCCCUAAAACCUGAGGGAGCUAGUGAGUACUGCAAGAUCUCAAAAAUAGAGUAAAGGCUGACAUUUUAAAGGAUAAACCUUCCAGUCCUUUCCUGUUCCAUCUCCCCUGGAAGGUGGUGUGGCUCAGGAAACCUGCCAGAGUCCCACCCACAGGGUUUGGCCUCAGGAUGAGGAGCUGACAUCCCCAAAAUGGGCUGAGGUGCCUGCCCUGGAUUGCCAAGCAGAUUGCAUUCUGUUUGCCUUCUGUAGGGCAGUUGUCUUCUGUUCAGUGGGAAGUUUUCCUUAUCUCUGCCACAGCCACUCCUCCCUCUGGGGACAUCUGCUGAUAACAGGCUAUGGGAUGUCCCUGCAUGGCUGAUAAGAACUACAGCAUCCAUUGGGACAUGCUCCACCCAGAGGGAGGAGCCAAGCAUUGCUACCUGGAUAGAAUCUUGAGAUUUGGAACACCGGCACAGCUUCUCCACUGGAUUUCCUAGAGGGGCAGCUGCCUCUUCUUCCACUGGAUCUUCUGAAGAAGACAACACCCUUCUACAGGAUAUCCCUGCUCCAGCAGAACCACACCUGACUGUGGCAGUCAUAUUUUCUGGGAAAAUCCCUUUGCCCAGGAUUCUUCUUCUGGGAAGCUGAGAAGCCUCAGAGAAAAAGGAAAACAAUUUCAUCUCAUUUGCUUCUCCUGUGUUUUGCUGCUUUGGAAUGUGAUUGGAGAUUGUUUACCAACAGGUGAUUGUUUCAUUGGUUUCAUGUGAAUUGUUUUGACUUAAUGACCAAUCAGGGUCAAGCUAUAUCGGGGCUCUGGAAGGAGUCAGGAUUUUUCAUUAUUAUCUUUUUAGCCUUCUGUAAGUAUCCUUUCUGUAUUCUUUAGUAUAGUUCAGUACAGUUUUAGUAUAGCCUUCUUUAAUAUAAUAUAGAAUCAUAAAAUAAUAAAUUAGCCUUUUAAGAA